This 301-nucleotide ribosomal RNA is filed under the name uncultured bacterium. RNAcentral's name for it is "partial 16S ribosomal RNA". It matches the Rfam family "Bacterial small subunit ribosomal RNA", at positions 509 to 807 of the family's 1533-position model. The record is from RNAcentral.
CAGUCGCCGCGGUAACACGUAGGUGGCAAGCGUUGUCCGGAAUUAUUGGGCGUAAAGCGCGCGCAGGUGGUUUAAUAAGUCUGGUGUGAAAGCCCACGGCUCAACCGUGGAGGGUCAUUGGAAACUGUUAAACUUGAGUGCAGGAGAGAAAAGUGGAAUUCCUAGUGCAGCGGUGAAAUGCGUAGAGAUUAGGAGGAACACCAGUGGCGAAGGCGGCUUUUUGGCCUGUAACUGACACUGAGGCGCGAAAGCGUGGGGAGCAAACAGGAUUAGAUACCCGCGUAGUCCCUGUCUCUUAUAC